Molecule: ribosomal RNA, 498 nt
Filed under: uncultured bacterium
Lineage: Bacteria
Description: partial 16S ribosomal RNA
Rfam family: Bacterial small subunit ribosomal RNA
Source: RNAcentral
GACGAACGCUGGCGGCGUGCCUAGUACAUGCAAGUCGAGCGGACGAAUCGAAAGCUUGCUUUUGAUUCGUUAGCGGCGGACGGGUGAGUAACACGUGGGCAACCUGCCCUGUAGACGGGGAUAACACCGAGAAAUCGGUGCUAAUACCGGAUAACACGAAAUGUCGCAUGACGUUUCGUUGAAAGACGGCGCAAGCUGUCGCUACAGGAUGGGCCCGCGGCGCAUUAGCUAGUUGGUGAGGUAACGGCUCACCAAGGCGACGAUGCGUAGCCGACCUGAGAGGGUGAUCGGCCACACUGGGACUGAGACACGGCCCAGACUCCUACGGGAGGCAGCAGUAGGGAAUCUUCCGCAAUGGACGAAAGUCUGACGGAGCAACGCCGCGUGAGCGAAGAAGGCCUUCGGGUCGUAAAGCUCUGUUGUUAGGGAAGAACAAGUAACGCAGUAACUGGCGUUACCGUGACGGUACCUAACGAGAAAGCCACGGCUAACUACGUG